GGGGAGCAAUCCCUGAGUAAAGUGGCGCACGGGUGAGUAACACGUGAAUCAUCUACCUCCGAGUGGGGAAUAACCUAGAGAAAUCUGGGCUAAUACCGCAUAACACUUACGAGUCAAAGCAGCAAUGCGCUUGGAGAGGAGUUCGCGGCCGAUUAGUUAGUUGGCGGGGUAAUGGCCCACCAAGACGAUGAUCGGUAUCCGGCCUGAGAGGGCGCACGGACACACUGGAACUGAAACACGGUCCAGACUCCUACGGGAGGCAGCAGUGGGGAAUUUUGCGCAAUGGGGGAAACCCUGACGCAGCAACGCCGCGUGGAGGAUGAAAUAUCUUGGUAUGUAAACUCCUUUCGAUGGGGAAGAUUAUGACGGUACCCAUAGAAGAAGCCCCGGCUAACUUCGUGCCAGCAGCCGCGGUAAUACGAGGGGGGCAAGCGUUGUUCGGAUUUAUUGGGCGUAAAGGGUGCGUAGGCGGUUUGGCAAGUCUUAUGUGAAAUCUUCGGGCUCAACUCGAAGCCUGCAUAAGAAACUGCCGGGCUUGAGUAUGGGAGAGGUGAGUGGAAUUUCCGGUGUAGCGGUGAAAUGCGUAGAUAUCGGA
Molecule: ribosomal RNA, 595 nt
Filed under: uncultured Acidobacteriota bacterium
Lineage: Bacteria; Pseudomonadati; Acidobacteriota
Description: bacterial SSU rRNA
Rfam family: Bacterial small subunit ribosomal RNA
Source: RNAcentral